This 495-nucleotide ribosomal RNA is filed under the name uncultured bacterium. RNAcentral's name for it is "partial 16S ribosomal RNA". It matches the Rfam family "Bacterial small subunit ribosomal RNA", at positions 28 to 506 of the family's 1533-position model. The record is from RNAcentral.
GAUGAACGCUGGCGGCGUGCCUAAUACAUGCAAGUCGAGCGAACAGAUGAGGAGCUUGCUCCUCUGACGUUAGCGGCGGACGGGUGAGUAACACGUGGAUAACCUACCUAUAAGACUGGGAUAACUUCGGGAAACCGGAGCUAAUACCGGAUAAUAUAUUGAACCGCAUGGUUCAAUAGUGAAAGACGGUUUUGCUGUCACUUAUAGAUGGAUCCGCGCCGCAUUAGCUAGUUGGUAAGGUAACGGCUUACCAAGGCAACGAUGCGUAGCCGACCUGAGAGGGUGAUCGGCCACACUGGAGCUGAGACACGGUCCAGACUCCUACGGGAGGCAGCAGUAGGGAAUCUUCCGCAAGGGGCGAAAGCGUGACGGAGCAACGCCGCGUGAGUGAUGAAGGUCUUCGGAUCGUAAAACUCUGUUAUUAGGGAGAACAAAUGUGUAAGUAACUAUGCACGUCUUGACGGUACCUAAUCAGAAAGCAACGGCUAACUACGU